GACGAACGCUGGCGGCGUGCUUAACACAUGCAAGUCGAGCGAGGCCCCUCCUUCGGGAGGGUGUCCUAGCGGCGAACGGGUGAGUAACACGUGGGCAACCUGCCCUCAGCUCUGGGAUAACUCCGGGAAACCGGGGCUAAUACCGGAUACGACCUCCACGGGCAUCUGCGGAGGUGGAAAGUUUUUCGGCUGAGGAUGGGCCCGCGGCCUAUCAGCUAGUUGGUGGGGUAGUGGCCCACCAAGGCGACGACGGGUAGCCGGCCUGAGAGGGCGACCGGCCACACUGGGACUGAGACACGGCCCAGACUCAUACGGGAGGCAGCAGUGGGGAAUAGUGCGCAAUGGGCGAAAGCCUGACGCAGCGACGCCGCGUGAGGGACGAAGGCCUUCGGGUUGGAAACCUCUUUCAGCAGGGACGAAGCGAAAGUGACGGUACCUGCAGAAGAAGCACCGGCCAACUACGU
This 464-nucleotide ribosomal RNA is filed under the name uncultured bacterium. RNAcentral's name for it is "partial 16S ribosomal RNA". It matches the Rfam family "Bacterial small subunit ribosomal RNA", at positions 28 to 506 of the family's 1533-position model. The record is from RNAcentral.